RNAcentral lists this ribosomal RNA (497 nucleotides) under uncultured bacterium. RNAcentral's name for it is "partial 16S ribosomal RNA". It matches the Rfam family "Bacterial small subunit ribosomal RNA", at positions 28 to 507 of the family's 1533-position model. The record is from RNAcentral.
GACGAACGCUGGCGGCGUGCCUAAUACAUGCAAGUAGAACGCUGAAGCGAGGAGCUUGCUCUUCUUGGAUGAGUUGCGAACGGGUGAGUAACGCGUAGGUAACCUGCCUUGUAGCGGGGGAUAACUAUUGGAAACGAUAGCUAAUACCGCAUAACAAUGGCUGACACAUGUCAUUUAUUUGAAAGGGGCAAUUGCUCCACUACAAGAUGGACCUGCGUUGUAUUAGCUAGUAGGUGAGGUAAUGGCUCACCUAGGCGACGAUACAUAGCCGACCUGAGAGGGUGAUCGGCCAAACUGGGAAUGAGACACGGCCCAGACUCCUACGGGAGGCAGCAGUAGGGAAUCUUCGGCAAUGGGGGCAACCCUGACCGAGCAACGCCGCGUGAGUGAAGAAGGGUUUCGGAUCGUAAAGCUCUGUUGUAAGUCAAGAACGGGUGUGAGAGUGGAAAGUUCACACUGUGACGGUAGCUUAACAGAAAGGGACGGCUAACUACGUG